UAAGAGGUCCCGCCUGCCCUGUGACUGGUAGUUUAACGGCCGCGGUAUUUUGACCGUGCAAAGGUAGCGCAAUCACUUGUCUUUUAAAUGGAGACCUGUAUGAAUGGCAUAACGAGGGCUCAACUGUCUCCUCUUUCAAGUCAAUGAAAUUGAUCUCCCCGUGCAGAAGCGGGGAUAGCCUCACAAGACGAGAAGACCCUAUGAAGCUUUAGACAAAAAGUAGAUUACGCCUAACACCUUCACCCAAGAAUCAAGAGCUUAUCAACUCCCUACUCAAAUGUCUUCGGUUGGGGCGACCACGGGGAAGAAUAAAACCCCCACGCAGAAUUGGGAUGAACCUGUCCUAGAGCUAAGAGUCCCCACUCUAAGCAACAGAACGUCUCUGACUUUCCAGAUCCGGCUUAGCCGAUCUACGGACCGAGUUACUCUAGGGAUAACAGCGCAAUCCCCUCCUAGAGUCCUUAUCGACAAGGGGGUUUACGACCUCGAUGUUGGAUCAGGACAUCCUAAUGGUGCAGCCGCUAUUAAGGGUUCGU
This 536-nucleotide ribosomal RNA is filed under the name Cirrhilabrus punctatus (dotted wrasse). RNAcentral's name for it is "partial large subunit ribosomal RNA". It matches the Rfam family "Bacterial large subunit ribosomal RNA", at positions 1846 to 2576 of the family's 2925-position model. Lineage: Eukaryota; Metazoa; Chordata; Actinopteri; Labriformes; Labridae. The record is from RNAcentral.